RNAcentral lists this ribosomal RNA (253 nucleotides) under uncultured bacterium. RNAcentral's name for it is "partial 16S ribosomal RNA". It matches the Rfam family "Bacterial small subunit ribosomal RNA", at positions 524 to 776 of the family's 1533-position model. The record is from RNAcentral.
UACAGAGGUCUCAAGCGUUGUUCGGAUUCAUUGGGCGUAAAGGGUGCGUAGGUGGCAUGGUAAGUCGGAUGUGAAAUCCCGGGGCUCAACCCCGGAACUGCAUUCGAUACUGCUGCGCUAGAGUACUGGAGAGGAGAUUGGAAUUUACGGUGUAGCAGUGAAAUGCGUAGAUAUCGUAAGGAAGACCAGUGGCGAAGGCGGAUCUCUGGACAGUUCCUGACACUGAGGCACGAAGGCCAGGGGAGCAAACGGG